ACAACUUUCAGCAACGGAUUUCUUGGCUCUCGCAUCGAUGAAGAACGCAGCGAAAUGCGAUACGUAAUGUGAAUUGCAGAACUCAGUGAAUCAUCGAAUUUUUGAACGCACCUUGCGCUCUUUAGUCAUUCUGAAGAGCAUGCUUGUUUGAGUGUCGCGA
RNAcentral lists this ribosomal RNA (160 nucleotides) under Kondoa subrosea. RNAcentral describes it as "5.8S rRNA". It matches the Rfam family "5.8S ribosomal RNA". Rfam says of the family: 5.8S ribosomal RNA (5.8S rRNA) is a component of the large subunit of the eukaryotic ribosome. It is transcribed by RNA polymerase I as part of the 45S precursor that also contains 18S and 28S rRNA. Lineage: Eukaryota; Fungi; Basidiomycota; Agaricostilbomycetes; Agaricostilbales; Kondoaceae. The record is from RNAcentral.